UCCUGUAGAAUGUAGUUCUUUGUUUAAUCAUAGACUGAAAAACCUAACAGAGUGAAAGGUUACAAGAACUCCUGUAUGAAGAAAACACCGUAAGCGAAUUAAAUAACUCCACAUGCUCCACUUGGGGUUGCACGAGAAACCAUCCAUCCAGCGAAAAUUUCCCAUUCCGUCUUGAUGUCGAGAUUCACUGCCAAUAAAUUAUAGUUCACUGGUGAACGGCUGUAGAAGACAUGUGCAUGAAAUGAACAGCGCAAGCAUGCACUCAAUUCCGAUGAAACUAAAGGGUUAUGAAAAGCCUUAGGUUGACGAUCUAUUCGAGUUUGGUCUUCAACCGAAUUAAAAUACUCCACACGCUCGACUGUCAAUAUUUGAUUUAGUAUCUUUUCUUCAGAUGCCGUUGGAGAUCUGAAUCACUGCCAUUCAGGACCAUCAAUGACGCACAGACCAGUGGGAAGUGAUUCGUCA
Molecule: long non-coding RNA, 465 nt
Filed under: Physcomitrium patens
Lineage: Eukaryota; Viridiplantae; Streptophyta; Bryopsida; Funariales; Funariaceae
Description: long non-coding RNA (PPAT_LNC012791)
Source: RNAcentral